Molecule: ribosomal RNA, 38 nt
Filed under: Pyrgophyllum yunnanense
Lineage: Eukaryota; Viridiplantae; Streptophyta; Magnoliopsida; Zingiberales; Zingiberaceae
Description: partial 26S ribosomal RNA
Source: RNAcentral
GUGGCCCCAAGUCAGGCGAGGUCACCCGCCGAGUUUAA